UGCAAGUCGACGGUAACAGGAAGCAGCUUGCUGCUUUGCUGACGAGUGGCGGACGGGUGAGUAAUGUCUGGGAAACUGCCUGAUGGAGGGGGAUAACUACUGGAAACGGUAGCUAAUACCGCAUAACGUCGCAAGACCAAAGAGGGGGACCUUCGGGCCUCUUGCCAUCGGAUGUGCCCAGAUGGGAUUAGCUUGUUGGUGGGGUAACGGCUCACCAAGGCGACGAUCCCUAGCUGGUCUGAGAGGAUGACCAGCCACACUGGAACUGAGACACGGUCCAGACUCCUACGGGAGGCAGCAGUGGGGAAUAUUGCACAAUGGGCGCAAGCCUGAUGCAGCCAUGCCGCGUGUAUGAAGAAGCCUUCGGGUUGUAAAGUAUUUCAGCGGGGAGGAAGGAGAAAGUAAUAC
This 408-nucleotide ribosomal RNA is filed under the name Escherichia coli. RNAcentral describes it as "bacterial SSU rRNA". It matches the Rfam family "Bacterial small subunit ribosomal RNA", at positions 56 to 463 of the family's 1533-position model. The record is from RNAcentral. Lineage: Bacteria; Pseudomonadati; Pseudomonadota; Gammaproteobacteria; Enterobacterales; Enterobacteriaceae.